AGAGUUUGAUCCUGGCUCAGGAUGAACGCUGGCGGCGUGCUUAACACAUGCAAGUCGAACGGAGUUUUUAACGGAAGUUUCGGAUGGAAGUUUAAGAACUUAGUGGCGGACGGGUGAGUAACGCGUGGGAACCUGCCUCAUACAGGGGGAUAACAGUUAGAAAUGACUGCUAACACCGCAUAAUAUAGCGAAACCGCAUGAUUUUUGCUAUCAAAUAUUUAUAGGUAUGAGAUGGGCCCGCGUCUGAUUAGCUAGUUGGUGGGGUAAAGCCUACCAAGGCGACGAUCAGUAGCCGGCUUGAGAGAGUGACCGGCCACAUUGGGACUGAGACACGGCCCAAACUCCUACGGGAGGCAGCAGUGGGGAAUAUUGGACAAUGGGGGAAACCCUGAUCCAGCGAACCGCCGCGUGAGUGAAGAAGUAUUUCGGUAUGUAAAGCUCUAUCAGCAGGGAAGAUAAUGACAGUACCUGACUAAGAAGCCCCGGCUAACUACGUGCCAGCCGCAGC
Molecule: ribosomal RNA, 508 nt
Filed under: uncultured bacterium
Lineage: Bacteria
Description: bacterial SSU rRNA
Rfam family: Bacterial small subunit ribosomal RNA
Source: RNAcentral